Molecule: small nuclear RNA, 105 nt
Organism: Oryctolagus cuniculus (rabbit)
Lineage: Eukaryota; Metazoa; Chordata; Mammalia; Lagomorpha; Leporidae
Source: Ensembl
GUGCUUGCUUCGGCAGCACAUAUACUAAAAUUGGAAUGAUACAGAGAAGAUUAGCAUGGCUCCUGCACAGGGAUGACACUUAUUGUUCCACCCCAAGACUGUCUU